This 489-nucleotide ribosomal RNA is filed under the name uncultured bacterium. Its description in RNAcentral is "bacterial SSU rRNA". It matches the Rfam family "Bacterial small subunit ribosomal RNA", at positions 44 to 507 of the family's 1533-position model. The record is from RNAcentral.
GUGCCUAACACAUGCAAGUCGAGCGAGAACGUCUCCUUCGGGGGAUUAGUAAAGCGGCGCACGGGUGAGUAACACGUAGGUAACCUACCUUGGGGUCUGGGAUAACCUGUCGAAAGAUGGGCUAAUACCGGAUAAGCUCACGGGAGUUGCGGCUCUUGUGGGAAAAGAUGGCCUCUUCAUGAAAGCUAUCGCUCCGAGAUGGGCCUGCGGGCCAUUAGCUAGUUGGUGAGGUAACGGCUCACCAAGGCUCAGAUGGCUAGCUGGUCUGAGAGGAUGGUCGGCCACACUGGGACUGAGACACUGCCCAGACUCCUACGGGAGGCUGCAGUCGAGAAUCUUUCGCAAUGCGCGCAAGCGUGACGAAGCGACGCCGCGUGGACGAUUAAGGCCUUCGGGUUGUAAAGUCCUGUCACAUAGGAAGAAACGUAUGGUUGACAAUACCUUCCAUACCUGACUUAACUAUGAGAGGAAGCUCCGGCUAACUCCGUG